This 986-nucleotide long non-coding RNA is filed under the name Mus musculus (house mouse). RNAcentral's name for it is "long non-coding RNA chr18:33384030-33385016". The record is from RNAcentral. Lineage: Eukaryota; Metazoa; Chordata; Mammalia; Rodentia; Muridae.
CCCUCCAUGUCACUUCCACUUCAUCUGUCCUAUACCUCUGAGUAAUUCCAGAAUCUUUGAGAGGAGUCCUGUGCCCAGCCUGAAACAUCUCCCAACCAGCUUGUGCUAUCAUGGCUCCAUUGUCAAUGCAGAAUCUCUCAUCUGUUGCAAAAGAGCUGGGCUCCCCGCUCCUGGCACAUUGUCCCCAUCAUCUCCUGCAGCCCCAGGUUACAUCCAACUCCUCCGACGAUGAGGGCUUCUUUGGAGCCACAGUGUGCCAGGGCUCGCUCCGUGAUUUCCACUAGCAUUGCAAACACGGUUUCCUGUAAGGAGAAACACAGGUCUUCAGGAGUACACUCUCCAGUGGCCAGCAUUCGCUGCGCUGCAUCCGCUUUGCCAUCUGGUCAAUGUUGUAGCCUGGACUGGGGUCAUUGGAAAUCUUCAGCACCCGAGCAAAACGAUCCAGGCAGUUUCCCACAGCGAUAUCAAUAGUUUCUCCAAAGAUGCGAUAACGAUGUUCUGAGUAGGAAAUCACCUGGGUAUUUCCUCCGCUCACAUACAGGACAGUUGGGUUAACGGCUCCAGUGAUGAGACGGCCCAUUUCAAUGUGGCCUAUGCAGUGGUUCACGCCAAGCAAAGGCUUAUUCCACAACUGGGUCACUGUACGGGCAACAACAGCUACAGAAGCCAAUGGGGCUCCCAUGCCAGGACCUUUGGUGAAAGCAAUGCAAUCAAUGUCCUUGGAGGUUAAUCCUGUCUCUGUUAGCGCCUCCUGCAGUAGGUCUAGGAUAACAGCUCGAUGGUGCCUGGCCGUGUCACCUGGAAAGAAUCCCGUGCCCGGGGCCGUGACAUAAGUGCGCCCCGGGUUCGCCAGCACCGUGCCGUCGCGGACCACGCCCACGCCGAUCUUGUUGGCGCUGCCUUCGAACCCCAGUACCGCGGGCAUGGUGCCUCACGGCUCCCGAUCGUGGGGCCGAGUGACGAGCUGUAACUGGCACCAAAGCAGU